This is a long non-coding RNA of Felis catus (domestic cat), 1844 nucleotides long. RefSeq lists it as uncharacterized. The record is from RefSeq and is a predicted model, not a curated record. The transcript has 2 exons. Lineage: Eukaryota; Metazoa; Chordata; Mammalia; Carnivora; Felidae.
AGCAGGCUCCAGGCUUCGAGCUGUCGACACAGAGCCCAGUGCAAGGCUCAACUCACAAACCGUGAGAUCACGACGCAAGCUGAAGUCAAACGUUUAACCGACUGAGCCACCCAGGAGCCCCUUUCAUGCCAGUCUCUUGAUAGAUGUUUGAAAGAAGUUGAAUUGACCUAAAUUAUGGUUUGUUGUCAGUAUUUUUUAAACAGUUUAAAGAUUUAAAGUCUUAAACCCAGUUUUGGGGGCCUGUGGGUUGAUGUUUGGGAAAGGAGCAAAGUACAGAGUGUGAGAGGGAGGGACUGAGGGAUGAGGGACUCCCCACCCCCUGCCUGUGAUGAGACCUGGGCCCUGGGGCUUAGAGCCUGCAGCCAAGCCCUGAGCUGGGGCCUGGAGCCGGGGCCUGGAGGAGGUGAGCUGCUGUCACCUAAAAAAAACCACAGUGAGAUGCCGGCUGGUAGCCGGUCAGACUGCUAAAAUCAAGGACAGACUGUGCAAGAGUUGACCGGAAUAUGGAGAAGUUGGAACCCUCACUCGGUGCUGAGGGGACUGAAAACUGAUACAGCCGUUUUGGAAAACGGUGUUGGCAGAUCCUUGAGUUGGACACACAGUCGCACUAGGGCCUCGCAGGUCCUUUCCUAGGUGUUUAUGCAGAAGAAGUGGAAACCGAGCAUCUGCACAGACACCUGAACAUGAGUACUCAGCAGUGUCCUUCACAGCAGCCGAGAAGUGGAAAUGACACAGGUGCCCGUCAGUUGAUGAACGGAUGAAAAGGGUGCUACAUCCGCAUGGUGGAGUGUUACUCGGCAGCCAAAAGACAGGAGAUGCUGGUACACGCUGGUACACGCUGCAAAGAUGGUUGAACCUUGAACACGUGCACGGUGGAACCCGCCAGUCCCAGAGGCCACGUACUGUUUUACUCCGUUCUGUCCAGGAUCAGCACAUCUACAGACGGAAAUCUGUCACCGUCUCCCGGAGUUGGGGGCACAGGAAGUGUAGUGCUGAGGAUACCCAGUCUCUUUCAGGGGAUGAAAAUGUUCUGAAAUUGGUGAUGGCUACACAAUUCUGUGAAUCUAUACAAACUGUUAAAAGGGUGACAUAGAAAUGUUAUUAAAAGUGGAGGAGACCUUGGGAUUUCAGUAGUUGAUCACGGAGAGAAGAACUUCGCACUGCUGUUCUGUUUUGUUGGGUUUUUUUGUUUGUUUGUUUGUUUUUAGCCGCCCUGCCCCCUUUUCCUGGGAAACAAAGCCUGUUUUGUUUCCCCCCUGCUUGUGCGGUCUCUGCCAGGCCCCUGUGGGUGCGCUGCUCUGCUUUGUUGAAAUGCGUGAGAUACUGAGAAGGUAAAGAGCAGGAUGCUUCUGGAGGGAAUCAUUCCAGCUUCCGUAGAUCAGCGGGGUUGAGUUGGUCACUGAAAUACACUCUUCAUAGGGAAAGUUUGUAGCACUGUUUGUAUCCACAGGUAACAGCGUUUGGGCAGACACAAUUAAGUCCUCACCAGUGUCAGCCAGAGAGACCAUAUCUGUUGCUAGUUUUGUGCAAACUUCAGUUCUGCGGAGUUGUUUUUCCUUCAUCUUUUGCUCUCCUGUUUCUCCCUUUACGUGGGUUUUGAAUAGUUAAAUAAGCUUAAAUCUGAAAAAGAGCCUACCAACCAAUUCAGGAGCCUUCAGCAGCCCUCACUGUCCUCGAUGAUCACCGCUGACAGUAUUUAAUUCUGGAAAACUGAAGGGAAGCACAGGAUCCUUCCCUCUUUAUUUUCAAGCAAUUUGUUAUUGUCCAUUUUCACAACAGUACAUAUUUAUAUUAACUUGUUAAAUGUUGUAUUUCUUAAUAAAAAUCCAGUGGGGAAAGCUGAA